This 553-nucleotide long non-coding RNA is filed under the name Rattus norvegicus (Norway rat). RNAcentral describes it as "long non-coding RNA NONRATT012450". Lineage: Eukaryota; Metazoa; Chordata; Mammalia; Rodentia; Muridae. The record is from RNAcentral.
CUUGUGUGACAGGCACUUUACAGAUUGAGCCAUCUCUUCAGCCUGCCUUUGGAAUGAACGAUGAGAUCUCUGUUUGUCAGUGUUGGUUCGGCACUCCUGGGUUCAAGUGGACAUCUUGCCUUAGCAUCCCAGCUACCUGCAGAUCUGGACAUAGAACUCUCAUCUACCUCUUCAGCACAUCUGCCUGCACAGCACCAUGCUUCCUGCCCUGAUGACUAUGGACUAAACCUCUGAACUAUGCCCAUCGCAUCUACAAUCAAAACCUUCCUGUGAACCAUAUGUUGAAGCACCCAUGCCCUCACUUUAUAUAAAGACAGCCUCACCAAGUAGACUAGAUCGACUGUGCAGUGAGCCCCAGGGAUCUGCCUGUCUCUACCUCUCUAGUGAUGGGAUGGUUGGUGUUGGAUACUCUCAUCUUGGCUGGCCUCAAGCCACUGCUUACAAAGUCAUUCAGGAGGACUUGGGACCUAGCCUCUGGUGUCUCUGGAAACCAUGGCUUCAAUAAUCAUACUGAUUUUCUAAAAAUAAAUAGACAAGUUAAAAAUGCUUCCAA